RNAcentral lists this long non-coding RNA (1835 nucleotides) under Salmo salar (Atlantic salmon). Its description in RNAcentral is "lncRNA (ENSSSAG00000110263.1)". The record is from RNAcentral. Lineage: Eukaryota; Metazoa; Chordata; Actinopteri; Salmoniformes; Salmonidae.
GAUGGUUGAGCGCCGAUAUUUAUUAAUCCAAGGGGUAGGCAAAGGAAGGUCGGGGACAGGCAAGAGUUCAUAAACCAGUACCAGUCCAAAACAGUACCAGGGCAGUCUCGAGGUCAGGCCAGGCAGGGGUUCAGUAACCAGAUCAGAGUCCAAACAGUACAAGGGGAUAGGCAGGCUUGAAGACAGAACAGGCGGGUACGGAGUCAGGACAGGCAAGGGUCAAAACCAGGAGGACUAGAACCAAAAGAGACUGGGAAAAAAUAGGCGCAAGGAAAACAGCUGCUUGACUUGGCAAACAAGACGAACUGGCAAACAAGACGAACUGGCAAACAAGACGAACUGGCAAACAAGACGAACUGGCAAACAAGACGAACUGGCAAACAAGACGAACUGGCACAGAGAGACAGGAAUCACAGGGGAUAAUAUAUACACAGGGGAUAAUAAGCGACACCUGGAAGGGGUGGAGACAAUCACAAGGACAGGUGAAACAGAUCAGGGUGUGACAAGGCUAUGGUCACUGAGUCUGUCCAUAGUCAAGGAUUUCUUCAUUUGGGGUGAGUCACAGCAGUCAGGUAUUCUGCCACUGUGUACUCUCUGUUUAGGGCCAGAUAGCACUCCAAUUUGCAGAUUUUUUUGGUUGAUUCUUUCCAUUGUGUCAAAUAGUUAUCUUUUUGUUUUCUCAUUUGGUUGUUUCUAAAUGUGUUUCUAGUCCUAGUGCUCUGUGGGGUUUAAAAUGAACAGCACCCCAGAACCAGCUGGCUGAGGUGACUCUUCUCUAUAGGACCUGAGCCCUAGGACCAUGCCUCAGGACUACCUGGCCUGAUGACUCCUUGCUCUACCCAGUCCACCUGGCCGUGCUGCUGCUCCAGUUUCAACUGUUCUGCCUGCGGCUAUGGAACCCUGACCUGUUCACCGGACGUGAUGCCUGUACCAGACCUGCUGUUUUCAACUCUCUAGAGACAGCAGGAGCGGUAGAGAUACUCUGAAUGAUCGGCUAUGAAAAGCCAACUGACAUUUACUCCUGAGGUGCUGAUCUGUUGCACCCUCGACAACCACUGUGAUUAUUAUUAUUUGACCCUGCUGGUCAUCUAUGAACAUUUGAACAUCUUGGCCAUGUUCUGUUAUAAUCUCCACCCGGCACAGCCAGAAGAGGACUGGCCACCCCUCAUAGCCUGGUUCCUCUCUAGGUUUCUUCCUAGGUUCUGGCCUUUCUACUGAGUGUUUCCUAGCCACCGUGAUUCUUUCUGUACAGCACUUUGAGAUAUCAGCUGAUGUAAGAAGGGCUUUAUCAAUACAUUUGAUUUGAUCUGAUACUGUCUGGUCAUAAAGAGUAUGACAUUAUUGAUGCCCGUAGCAUGGACUGCAAGGGAAGCCAAUGAGCAUUGGGCCUCGAUAGAUAGAAAAGUAAAUAAUAAUAGCCAAUCAGCGUUGAGCUCAACUGUGAAUGGUCGUGGCACACACCACAUUUUUUUCAAGGGAAUCCAGUUUGGAUUUGGCUUCUCUUCUAUCACAUCGCAUCAAGAGAAAUAUGUCAAUGACAUAAACAACAUGAAUUGUUGCAUCUCAUUGUGUUGUUGUCCUCCGGUGGCUAGCUUCAUUUACAUUUUACAUUUUUUUGUCAUUUAGCAGACGCUCUUAUCCAGAGCGACUUACAGUAGUGAAUGCAUACAUACAUUUCAUGCAUUUUCUUUUUUAAUUGAAUUUGUUUUAUUUUACAUUUUUCUCCGUACUGGCCCCCCGUGGGAAUUGAACCCACAACCCUGGUGUUGCAAACACCAUGCUCUACCAAAUGAGCCACAGGGAAGGCCACCUAGCUAGUUAAAAUUGUCCCUUUA